ACCAUUUAAAUCUCUCUCGGAGAAGGCGACAUAAAUAUAUUUGUCUAUUUACUCUCAGAUUCGAAAAACGAAUUAACAUAAAAGUAGACAUCAUGCAAGACUAGAAAUCCCUGCAAGCUCCUGCACAUCAUCUCUGACACCUUUGUUAACAGGUAUUAUAUCAAUUUAAAACUUGCACAGGACAGUUCACAGAAUUGUCCACUUAAAAUACAUUUUGCCAAUUUAUUCAUUACUACAUGGUAGUUAAGAGAUGAUCUAGAUAGAGACUGCUUCAAUUAGGCAGUCUCGUCCAGAUCAUCAUGGCAUUUGUAGUUCUUUAUAAUAGCCACAUGAGCAGUUUCAUUUGACUAGGCAAGUCAGUAAGAACAAAUUCCUUUUUUCAAUGACAGCUUAGGAACAGUGGGUUAACUGCCUUGCUCAAGGGCAGAACAACCUUUCAGUUACUAGUUCAACGCUCUAACCACUAGGCUACCUGUCACCUCAGGUAGGUAGUUAAUUAGCAUUUCAUUUUGGGGGAUUAAAUACAGGCUAAUUUAGUGAUAAAAGUCACCUUGUCCUAUGGAGAUUUACACGGUUAUCAAAAUGGCAGUCUACACGAAACACAGCCUUUAUUUUAAGUGUUUCUAAAAAUUAAAAAAAGAACGGUGUUUGACCGCUAGGUUUUUAUGGGUAUUGUGACUCAUACUGUGGUACUCUAUUUGGAUACAUUCAGGAAGUUCAUGUAAAGGACUGCACCCUGCUUGCUUAUCAAGUACCGCUUAAAGUGCCAGGGCCCUCAUUUAUCAAUGUUGCGUAGAAAAGCUUCUAAAUUAACUGUACGAAGAAAAUGUAGAAUGUUCGCAACUACAACAAAGUUUGUAUUUAUCAAUUGCUCGUACGCUUGAUUUACACACACGUGUAUGUAUUUUGCCUUGAUAAAUCAGACACGUUCUAAAACACUGCUAGUGCACGUGAAGUCUAAUUUACAUAAAUAACCGCCCCAAAUGACCAAUUAUGGUCAUAAACCUUCCCUUUAAUGCUGCAAGAAAUGUCACUCAUUUCUUUCCGCCAACGUGGAGAAAUCAAAGAAAAUAAACUUUUUCGCUGAAAUAGAAAUAGAACUUUUGAUCACCGAAGUGGAAGCAAAACAAGACAUACUUUUUGGAGCCCUCAGCAAUGGCUUGACAAAUAAGAUAAAAAAUAUUGCUUGGGAGCAGGUUAGAGCUGUGGUAAAUUCUGCCUCUGAGUGCAGAACAGUUAAUAAAAUAAAAUAAAUGGUUUGAUUGGAAAACGUAUGCAAAAAAAAAAAGAUCCACAAAAGGGAUAGAAGUGCAACAGGAGGAGUGCAGAGUGACUCUUCACUGUCUACAAUGGACCAGCGCAUUGGCAGCAUAAUUGAAGAGACCUGUGUCUGGCAUCAUUUGAUGGUGAUACUGAGGACCCUCUCCCAGACCCUGAAGGAAUAGCAGGCACCAACUGAUGAUGUGGGUGAUUUGCCUGACCCCCCCAGCCAUCCCCAGGCCUACAAGAAGUGUGUCUGCUUUGGCGAGCACUUCAGCUGUGCGGCAUGUUUUGACUGACGCAGUACUGAAACAACAAGAGAUCAACACAUCAAUUAUUGUACUCCAACAGCAGCUGGAGGAUGUAUGCAACGGCCUGAGAGAGUAAUCAAUCAUUGAAAUAACUUGUUGAUUGUGUUAAGCAUGUGAGACAAAUUCUGGCGCAAUGUAAACGUGUUUUCCUUGUCGAUUUGGUUACAAUAUUUGGAAGAACAGAUACCUUUAAACCGUUGUAUGAUAUUGACUCUUGUCUUCAGUUCCAGAGCUAUGGGUGGUGGGAAACACUCCGUCAGUCAUGGGCUCAUCGGAUCUGGGUGGAUCAUUCAGUGGAAUGCCAUUUUUGAAUGUAAUGUUGUGGCGCACACUGCAAGCCUUGACAAUGUAGCAAACCUAAAAAGGAAUUUGCGCAUUGUAUUACAUUCACGCAAUGACAUUUGAAGAUGUCAUUCCAAAGGCAAGCCUUGCUAGGCUGGUAUUGCAGUAUGCCUCCUGACCCAGACAAGCACAGCCAACGCCCUUUCAACAGGCCUAUGGUGCGCACCACUGUUCUUGUGCGUGCGUGGCCUUGGUUGUACCUUGCAUCUUGUUGGUUUGUGAGGGGAGUCAUCAGCUAUGGUUUUUAAUGGGUAGCCCCGGUCUCCUGCAGUUAUGAACACAACAUUCAGUUUCCCAUUAGAGGUCGAACAUGGAAAAUAAAACACUAGUCACUUACCAAUAAGCCAUCCAUACUCAACAACUCCCGUCUGGAGGUUAAGGCCAACUGAACUGUUGUUCUGCGCAAUGACUGAAUCAUGUGUCCCACCUGGCCACUACAAAGCCAAAUGUGAGUCACAGAUAACCUGCACAUUGACAGAAUGGAAACCUUUUCUGUUGACGAAGUUGAUUUUCUUCACUGAUGGUGCUUUUAUUGCGAUGUGGGUGCAGUCAAUUGUUCCAAUGACAUUGGGAAAUCCCUUUUCACUCUGGCCUGUUGCACAGCAGUGUACGGAAACAAUGUAUUGUGGGGUCAAUGAAAUAAUGCCAUGAAGGACUGCAGGCAAUAUUCGGCUCAUGGUUGGUUGUGAAAUGCCAGACCAAUCCGCAGUCUCCCGUUGGAAUGUUCCAGUGGCCAAAACUUCCAGGGUGGAGAGGACUUGGGUUUGCACUGGGAUUGCAUUGGUGCGUUACGUCUCGCUUUCUAAUACUGGAGAGAGUUGGUUGCAGAGAUACAAUAAAAUAUGCCUUGGAAAACUUAAUCUACUAAUAAGCCAAGCGUCGCUCUCAGCAAAAAAUUCUGCACGCUCAUUGAAAACAGCUCCCUGUGUAAUGCAGCUUGUGCCAGAUUGACUUUUCUACCACAAGGUGCUGUGCGUACACAUGGUCAGAGUUGUGCUUAAAUUUACGCACAUUCUCAAGUAUAAGUACAAAUGGAUAAAUCCCACACUUUGCUUAGAAAUGAUCGCACGCAUGCUUUACGAACAUUUCUGUUCGCACUCAACAUUGAUAAAUGAGUGCCCAGGAUGAUGUCUUUGAAUUUAGAAAACUGAAUCUGAAUGCAUUUGAGAAGUUGAAUAGAGUGCAUUCGGAAAGUAUUCAGAGCUCUAGAGUGCCUCUGUGGCGAUGGGAGAAACUUCCAGAAGGACAACCAUCUCUGCAGCACUCCACCAAUCAGGGCUUUGUGGUACAGUGGCCAGAUGGAAGUCACUCCUCAGUAAAAGGAACAUGAUAUCCUGCUUGGAGUUUGCCUAAAGACUCAGACCAUGAGAAACCAGAUCCUCUGGUCUGAUGAAACCAAGAUUGAACUUUUGGGCCUGAAUGCCAAGCGUCACGUUUGGAGGAAAUCUGGCACCCUCUCUAUGGUGAAGCAUGGUGGUGGCAGCAUUAUGCUGUAGAGAUGUUUUUCUGCAGUAGGGACUGGGAGACUAGUCAGGAUCGAGGGAAAGAUGAACAAAGUACAAACAGAUCCUUGAUGAAAACCUGCUCCAUAGUGCUCAGGACCUCAGACUGGGGGGAAGGAUAACCUUCCAACAGGACAACGACCCGAAGCACACAGCCAAGACAACGCAGGAGUGGCUUCAGGACAAAUCUCUGAAUGUCCUUGAGUGACCCUGCCAGAGCCUGGACUUGAACCCGAUCGAACAUCUGAAGAGACCUGAAAAUAGCUGUGCAGCGACGCUCCCCAACCAACCUGACAGCGCUUGAGAGGAUCUGUAGAGAAGAAUGGGAGAAAUUCCCCAAAUACUGGUGUGCCAAGAAGAGUCAAGACUGUAAUCACUGCCAAAGGUGCUUGAACAAAGUACUGAGUUAAGGGUCUGAAUACUUAUGUAAAUGUGAUAUUUCAGUUUUGUAUUUGCAAAACAAUCUUGACCUGUUUUUGCUUUGUCAUAAUGGGGUAUUGUGUGUAGAUUGAUGAGGGGGAAAAACAAUUCAAUCUAUUUUAGAAUACGGAUGUAGCAUAACAAGAUGUGGAAAAAGUUAAGUGGUCUGAAUACUUUCUGAAUGAUCAAUGUUUCUUUUGAAAUAGUAUUUAAAUAGGAAUAGUUUCACCAUAUUAAAACGAGAGUUCAGUUCAUAUAACAUGGUUGACCUUAGAAUGAGGGUCAUGUUUAUUUAUUUUUUACCUUAAAAUUAAUAACUAAUCAUAUGAAAUACGUAAACUCCAGAAAUUACUUUGUCAAAGCAUUGUAAAGGGCUUAACAACGAUGGUGAAAACCUUUGGGUUUAAGUGGGUUAAAAUAUUCCUAGAAGACACAGAGGGUGCAUAUAGUGUCUUUAUUGAUAUAAAAACGUUCUAUAUUAAUGGGUACUUCGUUUAAUAUAACAUACUUUUAAAAUGUAAAAUUGGUGCACAAUUUCUACUUAAAAUAUCAAAGGGAUGCAAAAGGGACUCAUUUCAUGGAACGACCAGUACACAAUAGCAACAUUUGUGUCUAUUGUCGAAAAACAAACCUUCAUAAUUGCAAGUGUGUGCAGUAAAAUGUAAUUAAAAUCAUCCCAGAACCAUUGAGCACAUAACAUAAGCCAGCAUCUCUUCAUAUUUAUUUUGGGUUGGACAAAUGGAACGAAUAGAUAGAUAUAGAUCUGUAUUAUUUACAUUAUGCAACCGAAAACAAAAGUUAAUAAUGUGUAGAAAUAUCCAUGAAUAAAAAAUAAAAUAAUUAUAUUAAAAACUCACACACAUCAUACUCAACAUAUUAUGAUAGAAAUUAGUGCUGUGAAUGAAAGUGAAAUGUACAAGUAAAAUUGAAGUCUGUUUCACCACAAGGUGGCACAAGUUCAUUACGGUUGAUGUGAAUUUCUUGAGGCUGAGGGUGUAACAGUAUAGCUUCCGUUCCUCUCGCCCCUUCCAAGGCUCGAACCAGGGACCCUCUGCACACAUCAACAACUGACACCCACAAAACACCGUAACCCAUCGCUCCAUAAAAGCCGCGGCCCUUGUCUGCAAGGGGAACAACUACUUCAAGGUCUCAGAGCGAGUGACGUCGCCGAUUGAAACGCUAUUAGCGCGCACCCCACUAACCAGCAAGCCAUUUCACAUCGGUUACAAGAGCAUAUGAGCUUCUUUGUUUCUAGACUCUGUCAUAUCCUGCUGCUGAGCUCUGGAAAUUAUUGGCCACAUUCCCAGCAGCGCAGGGUCAUGGCUGGAAGGGAUCCAGCUUUUGUCAAAUUAACUGUAAAAGUAUUUUUUAAAGCAUUUUACCUAACUUAAUUCUCCUAACCUGCUAUGUUAAUUAUACUAACCUGCUGCGUAAGUUCUAACCUGCUACGAAAAGUCAAAUCGGACUUUAAUUUGACAAAAGCUGGAUCCCUUUUAGUCAUGACAGCAGCGCAGCCUCCUGGGGCUGAUUUAGCCAAUGUUCCCACCCAGGAAUCCUGGACGUCUGACAGCAACCAGGCCAGACUCUCUUUCAAGUCCACACUCCGUCAGCCUCUCCCGGGCCGUGGCCCAGAGUCCGCCCUCCCUCCCAAGGCUGUCUCCCAUCUUUAUGGAGCGCCCAGAAAAACAGCCACUCUCCCUCCUAAAUAACCAUUUCUUAAAACUGCCUGCCACACCCGAUUUUCUUUCAUUCCCUCCCUGACCUCUCCUGCCCCUUAUGGUCACCCCUAACAUUUCACACAACAGAAAUCUUUCUCAUGUUAGUCUGGAAGCAGUUAAAAACCAUGCUGUUAGAUGUGAAGGCCAAGGUUAAAUGGGGAAAGUUUAAUGGCAACAUUUCCAUAGAGCUUUUUCAUGUUGAAACAAAUAUUUUUUUAGACUUUGUUAGAGCAUGUUUGGAUUAAAUAUCAGUUUUCAAUUACACCUCAUGCAGUCAUGUGAGAUUUUGAAAGAUGGCAAUAGGCCUGGAAAGUGAAACGUAU
Long non-coding RNA from Oncorhynchus nerka (sockeye salmon), 5876 nucleotides. RefSeq lists it as uncharacterized. Lineage: Eukaryota; Metazoa; Chordata; Actinopteri; Salmoniformes; Salmonidae. The record is from RefSeq and is a predicted model, not a curated record. The transcript is spliced from 3 exons.